Molecule: long non-coding RNA, 241 nt
Filed under: Nicotiana benthamiana
Lineage: Eukaryota; Viridiplantae; Streptophyta; Magnoliopsida; Solanales; Solanaceae
Description: long non-coding RNA (NBEN_LNC001311)
Source: RNAcentral
CCGAAAUUAGUAGAAACUUUCCAUACAUUAAUGCAGUUCAAAUAUAUCUUAUUUACAGUAAAAGCAAGAAAGCACAGAUUAGUCAAGUAAAGAAACAACAGAGACAAAUUCUACUAGCCAUGCUAUAUCACAACAAAAAGCAUUAAAAGGCCUCAUGCAUCAUUUCUUAUCCUAACCAGUAUGAUAGCAUAUGUGGAAAUAUGAAACAAAUGAAAACACCAGGUUGGUAUUAUAUUGUUUC